RNAcentral lists this ribosomal RNA (301 nucleotides) under uncultured bacterium. Its description in RNAcentral is "partial 16S ribosomal RNA". It matches the Rfam family "Bacterial small subunit ribosomal RNA", at positions 509 to 807 of the family's 1533-position model. The record is from RNAcentral.
CAGCCGCCGCGGUAAUACAGAGGAUGCAAGCGUUAUCCGGAAUGAUUGGGCGUAAAGCGUCUGUAGGUGGCUUUUCAAGUCCGCCGUCAAAUCCCAGGGCUCAACCCUGGACAGGCGGUGGAAACUACCAAGCUGGAGUACGGUAGGGGCAGAGGGAAUUUCCGGUGGAGCGGUGUAAUGCGUUGAGAUCGGAAAGAACACCGACGGCGAAGGCAGCCCCCUGGGAUAACACUGACGCUCAUGCACGAAAGCGUGGGGAGCAAACAGGAUUAGAUACCCCCGUAGUCCCUGUCUCUUAUAC